Non-coding RNA from Hordeum vulgare subsp. vulgare (domesticated barley), 86 nucleotides. The record is from Rfam. NCBI's taxonomy places the organism in Eukaryota, Viridiplantae, Streptophyta, Magnoliopsida, Poales, Poaceae.
AGCCAGUGAUCUUAUCAAAAUAUUUGCUACUCUUGAUGGGGCAACGACCCCAUUUCAUGAUCACAACCACCAAGAUCUCUGAGGCC